UGGGGAAUAUUGCACAAUGGGCGCAAGCCUGAUGCAGCCAUGCCGCGUGUAUGAAGAAGGCCUUCGGGUUGUAAAGUACUUUCAGCGGGGAGGAAGGGAGUAAAGUUAAUACCUUUGCUCAUUGACGUUACCCGCAGAAGAAGCACCGGCUAACUCCGUGCCAGCAGCCGCGGUAAUACGGAGGGUGCAAGCGUUAAUCGGAAUUACUGGGCGUAAAGCGCACGCAGGCGGUUUGUUAAGUCAGAUGUGAAAUCCCCGGGCUCAACCUGGGAACUGCAUCGGAUACUGGCAAGCUUGAGUCUCGUAGAGGGGGGUAGAAUUCCAGGUGUAGCGGUGAAAUGCGUAGAGAUCGGGAGGAAUACCGGUGGCGAAGGCGGCCCCCUGGACGAAGACUGACGCUCAGGUGCGAAAGCGUGGGGAGCAAACAGG
Molecule: ribosomal RNA, 429 nt
Filed under: Chloroflexota bacterium
Lineage: Bacteria; Bacillati; Chloroflexota
Description: Chloroflexi bacterium partial 16S ribosomal RNA
Rfam family: Bacterial small subunit ribosomal RNA
Source: RNAcentral